This 882-nucleotide ribosomal RNA is filed under the name Sanguilevator yearsleyi. RNAcentral's name for it is "SSU rRNA". It matches the Rfam family "Eukaryotic small subunit ribosomal RNA", at positions 161 to 886 of the family's 1831-position model. The record is from RNAcentral. Lineage: Eukaryota; Metazoa; Platyhelminthes; Cestoda; Cathetocephalidea; Cathetocephalidae.
AGAGCUCAUACAUGCCACGAAGCCCUGACCCUUACGGGGCAUGGGUGCACUUAUUAGAUCAGAAGCCAACCGUGUAUGGUCGCAAGGCUGUGCAUGUUGUCCUUCUGGUGACUCUGGAUAAUUGUUACAGAUCGCAGUCGGCCUUGAGUCGGCGACGGGUCCUUCAAAUGUCUGCCCUAUCAACUUUCGAUGGUAGGUGACCUGCCUACCAUGGUGAUAACGGGUAACGGGGAAUCAGGGUUCGAUUCCGGAGAGGGAGCCUGAGAAACGGCUACCACUUCCAAGGGAGGCAGCAGGCGCGCAAAUUACCCACUCCCAGUACGGGGAGGUGGUGACGAAAAAUACCGAUGCGGGACUCCUUUAGAGGCUCCGUAAUCGGAAUGAGUGAACUAUAAAUCCUUUCACGAGGAUCAAUUGGAGGGCAAGUCUGGUGCCAGCAGCCGCGGUAACUCCAGCUCCAAUAGCGUAUAUUAAAGUUGCUGCAGUUAAAAAGCUCGUAGUUGGAUCUCGGUAUCACUGUUGCCUGUCGGUCUUUGGACGGCUGACUAUAGGUGCAUGGACACAAAGUUUGUUCGUGUUGCCUUGGUUGGUUGUUUCAAGCUGGCGUGGCGGUGGUGUCACCUUUCAGCCAUGUCUGUGGUGAAAUAUCCACAGGUGUAGGCGAGUGUCAGGCGGUGCCUUGCAACAGUGGGGUUCGUCGGCUCGUUUGCAUGCCUUUGGAUGCCCUUCAAAAGGUGUCUGUGGGCGGAUGGCACGUUUACUUUGAACAAAUUUGAGUGCUCAAACCAGGCCGAUGUUGCCUGAAAAGUUUUGCAUGGAAUAAUGGAAGAGGACUWCGGUUCUAUUUCGUUGGUUGUCGAAUCCCGAAGUAAUGAUCAAAAA